CCUACGGGUGGCAGCAGUGGGGAAUAUUGGUCAAUGGGCGCAAGCCUGACCCAGCAACGCCGCGUGAAGGAAGACGGCUCUCGGGUUGUAAACUUCUUUUCUCAGGGACGAAAAAAGUGACGGUACCUGCGGAAUAAGCCACGGCUAACUACGUGCCAGCAGCAGCGGUAAUACGUAGGUGGCAAGCGUUAUCCGGAUUUAUUGGGUGUAAAGGGCGGGUAGGCGGGAGGGCAAGUCAGAGGUGAAAACUCAGGGCUCAACCCUGAGCCUGCAUUUGAAACUGUGUUUCUUGAGUGCUGGAGAGGCAAUCGGAAUUCGGGGUGUAGCGGUGAAAUGCGUAGAUAUAAGGAAGAACACCAGUGGCGAAGGCGGAUUGCUGGACAGUAACUGACGCUGAGGCGCGAAAGCGUGGGGAGCAAACAGGAUUAGAUACCCGAGUAGUC
RNAcentral lists this ribosomal RNA (443 nucleotides) under uncultured bacterium. RNAcentral's name for it is "partial 16S ribosomal RNA". It matches the Rfam family "Bacterial small subunit ribosomal RNA", at positions 338 to 795 of the family's 1533-position model. The record is from RNAcentral.